CCCUUAGAUGUUCUGGGCCGCACGCGCGCUACACUGACGAAUGCAACGAGCUUAUAACCUUGGCCGAAAGGUCUGGGUAAUCUCCAAAUUUCGUCGUGAUGGGGAUAGAUUAUUGCAAUUAUUAAUCUUCAACGAGGAAUGCCUAGUAAGCGCAAGUCAUCAGCUUGCGUUGAUUACGUCCCUGCCCUUUGUGCACACCGCCCGUCGCUCCUACCGAUUGAAUGGUCCGGUGAAGCGUUCGGACCGUGGCCUUUGGACGGUUCGCCGUCUGUUGGCUGCGGGAAGUUCGUUAAACCUUAUCAUUUAGAGGAAGGAGAAGUCGUAACA
This 327-nucleotide ribosomal RNA is filed under the name uncultured eukaryote. RNAcentral's name for it is "partial 18S ribosomal RNA". It matches the Rfam family "Eukaryotic small subunit ribosomal RNA", at positions 1470 to 1796 of the family's 1831-position model. The record is from RNAcentral.